AGACGACGCUGGCGGCGUGCCUAAUACAUGCAAGUCGAACGCCUCUUUUUCCACCGGAGCUUGCUCCAUCGGAAAAAGAGGAGUGGCGAACGGGUGAGUAACACGUGGGUAACCUGCCCAUCAGAAGGGGAUAACACUUGGAAACAGGUGCUAAUACCGUAUAACAAUCGAAACCGCAUGGUUUCGAUUUGAAAGGCGCUUUCGGGUGUCGCUGAUGGAUGGACCCGCGGUGCAUUAGCUAGUUGGUGAGGUAACGGCUCACCAAGGCGACGAUGCAUAGCCGACCUGAGAGGGUGAUCGGCCACAUUGGGACUGAGACACGGCCCAAACUCCUACGGGAGGCAGCAGUAGGGAAUCUUCGGCAAUGGACGAAAGUCUGACCGAGCAACGCCGCGUGAGUGAAGAAGGUUUUCGGAUCGUAAAACUCUGUUGUUAGAGAAGAACAAGGAUGAGAGUAACUGUUCAUCCCUUGACGGUAUCUAACCAGAAAGCCACGGCUAACUACGUGCCAGCAGCCGCGGUAAUACGUAGGUGGCAAGCGUUGUCCGGAUUUAUUGGGCGUAAAGCGAGCGCAGGCGGUUUCUUAAGUCUGAUGUGAAAGCCCCCGGCUCAACCGGGGAGGGUCAUUGGAAACUGGGAGACUUGAGUGCAGAAGAGGAGAGUGGAAUUCCAUGUGUAGCGGUGAAAUGCGUAGAUAUAUGGAGGAACACCAGUGGCGAAGGCGGCUCUCUGGUCUGUAACUGACGCUGAGGCUCGAAAGCGUGGGGAGCAAACAGGAUUAGAUACCCUGGUAGUCCACGCCGUAAACGAUGAGUGCUAAGUGUUGGAGGGUUUCCGCCCUUCAGUGCUGCAGCUAACGCAUUAAGCACUCCGCCUGGGGAGUACGACCGCAAGGUUGAAACUCAAAGGAAUUGACGGGGGCCCGCACAAGCGGUGGAGCAUGUGGUUUAAUUUCGAAGCAACGCGAAGAACCUUUACCAGGUCUUGACAUCCUUUGACCACUCUAGAGAUAGAGCUUCCCCUUCGGGGGCAAAGUGACAGGUGGUGCAUGGUUGUCGUCAGCUCGUGUCGUGAGAUGUUGGGUUAAGUCCCGCAACGAGCGCAACCCUUAUUGUUAGUUGCCAUCAUUUAGUUGGGCACUCUAGCAAGACUGCCGGUGACAAACCGGAGGAAGGUGGGGAUGACGUCAAAUCAUCAUGCCCCUUAUGACCUGGGCUACACACGUGCUACAAUGGGAAGUACAACGAGUCGCAAAGUCGCGAGGCUAAGCUAAUCUCUUAAAGCUUCUCUCAGUUCGGAUUGUAGGCUGCAACUCGCCUACAUGAAGCCGGAAUCGCUAGUAAUCGCGGAUCAGCACGCCGCGGUGAAUACGUUCCCGGGCCUUGUACACACCGCCCGUCACACCACGAGAGUUUGUAACACCCGAAGUCGGUGAGGUAACCUUUUGGAGCCAGCCGCCUAAGGUGGGAUAGAUGAUGGGGGAAG
This 1485-nucleotide ribosomal RNA is filed under the name Enterococcus hirae. Its description in RNAcentral is "bacterial SSU rRNA". It matches the Rfam family "Bacterial small subunit ribosomal RNA". Lineage: Bacteria; Bacillati; Bacillota; Bacilli; Lactobacillales; Enterococcaceae. The record is from RNAcentral.